Molecule: ribosomal RNA, 348 nt
Filed under: uncultured bacterium
Lineage: Bacteria
Description: bacterial SSU rRNA
Rfam family: Bacterial small subunit ribosomal RNA
Source: RNAcentral
AGAGUUUGAUCAUGGCUCAGGAUGAACGCUAGCUACAGGCUUAACACAUGCAAGUCGAGGGGAAACGACAUCGAAAGCUUGCUUUUGAUGGGCGUCGACCGGCGCACGGGUGAGUAACGCGUAUCCAACCUGCCCACCACUUGGGGAUAACCUUGCGAAAGUAAGACUAAUACCCAAUGAUAUCUCUAGAAGACAUCUGAAAGAGAUUAAAGAUUUAUCGGUGAUGGAUGGGGAUGCGUCUGAUUAGCUUGUUGGCGGGGUAACGCCACAAGGCUACGAUCAGUAGGGUCUGAGAGGAACGGUCCCCANAUUGGAACUGAGACACGGUCCAAACUCCGUACGGGAGCA